Molecule: ribosomal RNA, 496 nt
Filed under: uncultured Rubrobacteria bacterium
Lineage: Bacteria; Bacillati; Actinomycetota; Rubrobacteria
Description: bacterial SSU rRNA
Rfam family: Bacterial small subunit ribosomal RNA
Source: RNAcentral
CUCGGGCUAAUACCGAAUGUGCCCUCUGGCCGUAAGGCCUCUGGGGAAAGGAAGCUUCGGCCUCCGCAUCGGGAUGGGCCCGCGGCGCAUUAGCUUGUUGGUGAGGUAACGGCUCACCAAGGCGACGAUGCGUAGCUGGUCUGAGAGGACGAUCAGCCACACUGGGACUGAGACACGGCCCAGACUCCUACGGGAGGCAGCAGUGGGGAAUCUUGCGCAAUGCGCGAAAGCGUGACGCAGCAACGCCGCGUGGGGGAAGACGGCCUUCGGGUUGUAAACCCCUUUCAGUUGGGACGAAGCUUCAGCGGUGAAUAGCCGUUCGGAGUGACGGUACCUUCAGAAGAAGCCCCGGCUAACUACGUGCCAGCAGCCGCGGUAAUACGUAGGGGGCAAGCGUUGUCCGGAAUCAUUGGGCGUAAAGAGCGUGUAGACGGCUUGGUAAGUCUGCUGUGAACAGUCCAGGGGCUCAACCCUGGAAUGCCGGUGGAAACUGUCA